UCAAACCCUUCCAAGAAGGAAGAGACCUAGAGAAACCCAGCUCAUAACUCAACCUGCAGGUGAUUCACAGGACAGGACAAUAACAUUACAUCUACAGUAUUAAACCUAGCUCAUAUCUCAACCUGCAGGUGAUUCACAGGACAGGACAAUAACAUUACAUCUAUAGUAUUAAACCCAGCUCAUAACUCAACCUGCAGGUGAUUCACAGGACAGGACAAUAACAUUACAUCUAUAGUAUUAAACCCAACUCAUAUCUCAACCUACAGGUGAUUCACAGAACAGGACAGUAACAUUACAUCUAUAGUAUUAAACCCAACUCAUAUCUCAACCUGCAGGUGAUUCACAGAACAGGACAUUGUAUUUUUUUAACCUUUAUUUAACUAGUCAAGUCAGUUAAGAACUAAUUUUUAUUUUCAAUGACAGUUAACUGCCUUAUUCAGGGGCAGAACGACAGAUUUUUUUUACCUUGUCAGCUCAGGGAUUCG
Molecule: long non-coding RNA, 485 nt
Organism: Oncorhynchus keta (chum salmon)
Lineage: Eukaryota; Metazoa; Chordata; Actinopteri; Salmoniformes; Salmonidae
Exons: 3
Source: RefSeq, a predicted model, not a curated record